UCUGAGCUGGCAUCGAAAAUUCAGUUCUGUUUUAGGCGUUUUUUUUCUUGAAGCAUAGAAAACACAUAUGUGGAAAUAAUAAAGACUUCUGUUUUGUCACAUUAGCAUUUGUGUUUGUUACAAGUCUGUCUUGUUUUUUUUUUUUUUCUUUCCUUUUUCCUUCUUUAAGACGCGUGGCGUGUAGUCCCCUCCCUUUCGUUAAAUAGGGGACCAACCACCACUCAAAUAUCCUCAUCAAUUAAGUAUUCAA
RNAcentral lists this long non-coding RNA (250 nucleotides) under Theobroma cacao (cacao). RNAcentral describes it as "long non-coding RNA (TCAC_LNC002090)". The record is from RNAcentral. Lineage: Eukaryota; Viridiplantae; Streptophyta; Magnoliopsida; Malvales; Malvaceae.